RNAcentral lists this ribosomal RNA (291 nucleotides) under uncultured bacterium. RNAcentral describes it as "partial 16S ribosomal RNA". The record is from RNAcentral.
GGACUACAAGGGUAUCUAAUCCUGUUUGCUCCCCACGCUUUCGCGCCUCAGCGUCAGUCUCGGUCCAGAGCGCCGCCUUCGCCACCGGUGUUCUUCCCAAUAUCUACGAAUUUCACCUCUACACUGGGAAUUCCACGCUCCUCUCCCGAACUCCAGCCCCCCGUCUCGCGCGCCGUUCCCAGGUUGAGCCCGGGGCUUUCACACGCGACAAGGAGGGCCGCCUACGCGCCCUUUACGCCCAGUAAAUCCGAACAACGCUCGCCCCCUUCGUAUUACCGCGGCGGCUGGCAC